AAGCAUAAACUAUAAUAAUUAAUGAUAAAACACUGACCUACUAAAAGCUGAUGCAGUAAACCUAGUCUAGCCUGUUUGAGCCUCAUAAAUCCUCAUGCUAUGCUUGUGGAGUACGAGAUGUACUCACGCUUGUAUAUUUCUUUUCUUUGGAUAAAAAUCCCAGAUGGGUAACAGAUGGUGGUAGCUAUGAGGACUACCCGGAGGACUAUUAGGCUUGUGCUUCACCAGUCGACCUUCCCUGUGUGAGGGCCAUGAGAUAGUUAUCUUAGAUUAUCAUAUUUACAUUUCCGCUGUUAUGCCAGACUUUGUGAUGUAAUAACUACGUUUGUUGUAAACACUACGAUGAUGGUAUUUAAUUUGUGACUUAUGUGUGUGAUUGAUCUCUGGGUGAACAUAAGUUUAUGCAUUCAAUUUCUUCCUUAAAAUUGGGUGUGACAAAUUGGUAUCAGAGCCGUGUUGACUGUAGGACGUAAGCCUAGGUAGCAAUGGUCGAUAUAGUGUCUUUGUUUUAUUUAUUUAAUGCUUUCUAUCUUACUUUUUGUUAUUUUAUAAAAUUUAUUAUGCUUAUAUCACUUAUUCUAUUGCCAAAAUGUUGAUCUAAUCUUAAAAUAAAAAUUUAUAGACGCCGCCUGUCACGAGGUCUCGCCGCGCCAGCACCAGGAGCUACAUCUCUCAGUUCACGCCCCAGUCGUCCCAGCCAGUGGUGGACAUCUCCGACGACGAGACUGUCCCUAUAGAGGAAGAGGAUCCGGCGAUGAUGACAGAGGUGGAUGAUGAUGAUGAGAACUGGAUGGACUCUCCUGUACCAGCUGCACCUGUUCCACCCACUGCACCCACGCCACCAGCUGUUCCAAUGGCACCUGCUGCACCUACACCACCAGCUUCACCAGUUGCACCUACUGCUCCUGCUGUACCAGAGGUGGUGUCUCCAGAUGGUCCUGAGGAAGAAAACCCAGGAUGGACUACCACCAUCCACUACAAGUAUCCUUCACUGACAGCCUACUUCCACAACUUGCUUAGGGAGAUGUUGGAUACUUACUAUGCUGAUAAGGAGAUUGGCAUCAGGUACUGCUGUGCAGAGUACAUACACCCCUAUGAAGCCACAUACUGGAGGUCGGAUCUUACCAUCACAGUGGGGAAUGAGGCACAUGACAGCUAUAUGGUAGAAAGCAUCCAUGGUCACGUUGCUAGGCGAGCUGAGGCACAGGACAACAUGGAGGACGCCGCCCAGAUGGCUUACACUCACUACCAUGGCCUUCGCUAUGAGGCCAUGAGAGCAGACCAGUACAAGUUCCUCCCUCGCCAUGAUUCUACUAUUGGUACUUGGUCUAUUGAGAACCCACAAAAGGUUGACACGCCAUUGGAUGCAACUGUUAGGCAUAUGCAUGUCCUGCAGAUGGCCAAUGAUGAUCUACAGGAGGAGCUACGUGAUCAGCAGGAUUCCAUAGAUCGCUUCCAGGAGAUGGUUGACAGCCUUAGAGAGCAGCUUGAGUUGCUACCGCUCUACAAGAAGAAGACCGCACCUCCUAGCAUCUCCGGCGACGCACCAUAGGCCUAGGAUGCCAUAGUUGUUUUAUUUCGUAGUCCCGUUGUGUCAGUUGAGUUUGGAGUGCUUGUGAACAAUUGAUGUGUCUGUUGAAUUUGUUUAUGUAUUUGCAUGAUUCGAAUCUUUGUAAUGACUGCUGGAAGGAUGUGGAUUUAUCUACAAACUUCCAUUACCUUAAGUUUAAUUAUCGAAUGCUUAGUUGGGUUGGUAUAUUCUGCUGUUGCUGUGCUGUUUUUCUGGAGCAGCCUGUGAUGUUUAACUUUUAUCUCUGAAAUGGUAAGUCCAAAAACUCUGAAAUUUUUGUGGAGGAAACUAGACUGAAGUUAUCUCUCAUUUCCAAAACUAAAGAGGAACAUGCGGAGCAUCUGAGGCUAGUCUUGCAAAAGCUUAGAGAACAUAAGCUAUAUGCCAAAAGAAGCAAGUGUGAGUUUUGGCUAAAGGAGGUCUCCUUUCUGGGACACGUGGUCUCUAAUGGAGGGAUAGCCAUGGACCCCAGCAAGGUGCAAGAUGUGUUGAAUUGGAAACCCCCGACCAAUGUGAGUGAAAUCCAUAGCUUUCUGGGAUUGGCCGGAUAUUAUAGGAGAUUCAUUGAAGGAUUCUCUAAACUUGCUAAGCCCAUGACGGCCUUAUUAGAGAAGAGUGCUAAGUUUGUUUGGUCAGACAAAUGCCAGACUAACUUUGAGGAGUUAAAGAAGAGGUUGACCACAGCUCCAGUGUUGACCUUACCUGACUUAAGCAAGAGCUUCUCCAUCUAUUGUGAUGCUUCUCGCUUAGGUUUAGGUUGUGUGCUCAUGCAAGAAGGAAGAGUAGUGGCCUAUGCAUCUAGGCAGUUGAGGAAACAUGAGUUGAAUUACCCUACUCAUGAUCUGGAGCUAGCCACAGUGGUCCAUGCUUUAAAAAUUUGGAGGCAUUACUUAAUUGGUCAUAAGUGUGAUAUUUACACAGACCAUAAGAGCCUAAAGUAUAUCUUCACCCAGUCAGACCUGAAUCUGAGGCAACGUCGUUGGUUAGAGCUGAUCAAGGAUUACGACCUGGAAGUGCAUUAUCACCCUGGGAAAGCAAAUGUAGUUGCGGAUGCACUUAGUAGGAAAAGCUAUGUCAACAGACUUCAGCUGACAUUUAUUCCAGCUGAGUUGCGAGCCGAAAUAGAACACCUCAACAUAGGCUUUGUGAAUCAUACCAUGGGUCUAGAGGUAGAGCCAACAUUGGAACAAGAGAUACGUAAGAGUCAGUUGGAGGAUGAGAAAUUAAAAGAGAUAGCAGAUAAUGUAGUGCUUGGAAAGGCACCAGGCUUCAGGAUAGAUGAGAAUGGUACCCUAUGGUUUGGGAAAAGGAUAUGUGUGCCUGAAGUGAAGGCUAUCCGAGACACAAUUCUGCGUGAGGCGCAUGACUCUGCUUAUUCAAUACACCCUGGGAGUACCAAGAUGUAUUUGGAUCUAAAGGAGAGAUAUUGGUGGUAUGGAUUGAAAAGAGAUGUAGCAGAGUAUGUUGCUUUAUGUGACACCUGUCAGAGGGUGAAAGCUGAGCACCAAAGACCUGCAGGGUUGUUGCAACCAAUGCAGAUACCUGAAUGGAAAUGGGAAGAAGUCGGUAUGGACUUCAUUACCGGGUUGCCACGUACUCAACGUGGGUAUGACUCGAUUUGGGUAAUAGUAGACCGACUCACUAAGGUUGCACAUUUCUUACCAGUCAAAACCAACUACAAAGGGCAAGGUUAGCCGAGCUAUACAUGGAAAGGAUUGUGUGCUUACACGGAGUUCCAAAGAAGAUCGUGUCCGACCGAGGAACUCAGUUUACAUUGCACUUUUGGCACAAAGUACAUAGAUCCUUGGGAACUAAGCUGAACUUCAGUUCUGCUUAUCAUCCCCAGACUGAUGGACAAACAGAGAGAAUUAAUCAAAUCUUGGAGGACAUGCUGAGAGCUUGUGCUCUGCAGUAUGGCACUAGUUGGGACAAAAGUCUGUCGUAUGCCGAGUUUUCCUAUAACAACAGCUACCAGAAGAGUCUCAAGAUGGCACCAUUUGAAGCUUUGUAUGGUCGCAAGUGUAGGACACCUUUAUUCUGGAAUCAAACUGGUGAGACAUAGGUGUUUGGACCAGACGUCCUAAGAAGUGCUGAAGAACAUGUGAGGAUGAUUAGGGACAAUCUAAGAGUGGCACAGUCGAGGCAGAAAAGUUAUGUCGACACCCGAAGAAGGGAUUUGAGCUUCAAAGAGGGUGAUUUUGUAUAUCUGAAGGUAUCUCCAAUGAGGAGUGUGAAGAGAUUCAAUGUGAAGGGUAAGCUAGCACCGAGAUACGUCGGACCUUUCAGGAUUCUUGCAAGACGUGGAGAAGUAGCCUAUCAGUUAGAACUUCCUGAGAGCUUGUCAGGUGUACAUGAUGUAUUCCAUGUUUCUCAGUUGAAGAAGUGUUUGCGGGUACCUGAAGAGCAGAUUCCUAUAGAAGAGUUGACCGUUAAAGAAGAUCUCACAUAUGAAGAGUACCCGAUAAAGAUCUUAGAAACUGCAGACAGAGUUACAAGAAGCAGAACUAUAAAGAUGUGUAAAGUACAAUGGAACCGUUAUACCGAAGAUGAAGCCACCUGGGAAAGAGAAGAGGAUUUGAGAAAGUCGUAUCCACAACUGUUUGAGUAAGCAUCACCCAAUCUCGAGGACGAGAUUAUUUUUAAGGGGGGUAGAAUUGUAACACCCAAAAUUUGGCUCUUUUAAAAAUAGAUGAAUUUGACUUUAUUAAAUAAUUUUGUGAGCAUUUUCAAUAUAGGAAAAUAAAUAAAUUUGGAGAAAUUAAAAUUAAAUAUAAGUCAGGCUAAUAUUUUGUUGCAUACAUGCUGGUGCAUUUCUUUUAUGUGAUGAGUGGUUUUGAAGAAAGGAAUUUGAAUUCAAAAAUUCAUUUGGAAAAUAGUUUGAAAAAUUUGUUGGAAAAUAAAAAGGAAAAACUUUUCUCUCUCCCCUUUUCGGCCAUUUUGGCCCAAAACCCCGCGGCCCAGCCGGCUCCCCCUCUCUCUCUCUGGCGGCUGACGGGUGGGGCCCACCCGUCGGUCUUUCCCCUUCCCCAACCGAAGCCCCAGCUCCUCUCUCUGCUAACCGCCCAGGCCGAAGCCCCGCGCCCACGAUACCCUCUAUUCUCCCCGCGCCUCGGUCUUUUAGUUGGAUAGCUCCCGUGCGCCCGAGUUUUCUCUCCCCCUCCCCCAUUCUCUCUUCUCCUUGCCCGUGCCCCGCUCGUUUCUGCGCAGAGAACCGUCGCCGGGAAGUUCUUCGUCGGCCGCGCGUAGGCCGCCGUUCCGAGCCGUUUUCGCCCCGAUUUCGCGCUGUGGUGAGCUCCGUCUUCUUCCCCGCUCCCUCCCCGUCCUGUUGCCGAGUGAAUCGUGGCCCAGAGUCCCUGUUCCGCGAGCUCCGACAGGGACGUUCAUGGCGCCGCCGUGAACCUUCUCGAAAACCGCCUCCUCGACCGCGUUUAUGGGUUGGAAUGGACUCGCAUCGCUCUCCUCUUUCUCCCAGUGCGUUCGGAAUCGAAAACCAUGCACCGUAGGUCCUUAUUCUCUUGCUCCGACGAGCUUCCUGGCCGGCCGGUGGCCACCGUGUUCUUGCUGGAGCUGGCCUGUGCGCCGUCCACUUCCUCUCUCUCUCUCUUAUUUUUUUAUUUUUUUAUUUUCUUUAUUUUUCUUUUAAUCCAGCGCGUUCAUUUGUGAUCCAACGGCCUACAAUGCCCCGUACCCCUUCGAGGGCAUUUUUGUUAAAGAGCCCCCUAGGAAUCCCAUUUUUGCGCGCGCAGUCCUCGGCCAGAGGAAUUUCCAGGAUUUAAUUUAUUUAUUUAAAUUUGUUUAAACUCUGCUUUAUUUACAGAAUUGCCACCACAUUGUUUUAGCUAUAAAAUCGUCAUUUGAACUCCGAAUCGAUCCAUUCAAGUUGCGUUAGUUUUGUAAUUUCGUAAGCUUCGCGUUGGUACCACUGUUGUUUAGGUUUACCACUGUUAGAUUUCCUAGUUAAUUACAAGUCCGUAGAUUGCUGUUGAAAUCCCAUCAAAAGCGUAAUUUUCGCGUCGUAAGUCCGUUUUUCGUGAAUUUCGCGUUGACGUGAUCGUAGCAGCACGUAGAUGAUUUUGGAAAACUUUUAUUUAAUUUAUUUACUGCUGGUGUACUGUUCUAACUUUAGGAAUUGUUCUCUUGCAUGUUUGUCUUGGUAUGCGUGAUGAUUGUGAUGUAUUGAUCGAGCCUAGACGGUGAGGAGUAUUUCGGGAGUCCGGAGCUCUUUGGGGACCAGCAAGACCAGCAGGAGUACGUGAACCAAGGCAAGUAUAGCAUGGGCCUACCUUGUUGUCCUACUCAUUUUUAAGCAUUUCACCCUGCAUGUGUAUAAUAUUGCAAACUAUAAGGACAUCCUAGCUGUUGAUGACAAUUACCUUGUUCCCAAGGGUUUUUAUUGCAUAUGGGUAGAAGUGCUAGUGCUCUAACUCCAAUUAUAUAUGAUCUGAAAUCAGUGAUGGAACCAUGGUUAAUUGAUUAAACAUGAUUAUGAUAAAUGAAACAUAGGGCUAUGGUACAAAUGAUGGUUGGUCAUGUUGUACUAGACCCUCCGUAAGGACUUAUCUGUCGGCAAAAGCUGAGACUUACAGUGCAACCGGGAGAGUCACAUGGCUCUGACUUUAGCUCAGUAAUAGGAUCUUUUCUAACUCGUUAGAGGUUACCCGAAAGGGCGCAAGAGGGGCUUUCCACUUUGGGUGUAGUGUUGCCCCUGUUUCUAUGAGUAUAGCCGCGAUGGAAAUGUGCCAUAGAAAAGGGGGGUUUUCUACAUCUACCUGCCGAGGAAACCUCGCGGCCCUAACUGGUUAGAAUAGGCCUAUGGAAGGCUUCAUAGUGUACCCUGCCCGCUCACCUUCGUAGUGUUUGGGGGUCGACGGACCCCGGGCAUAUGGGCAACACGACUCACGGUGAAAGUGCACAACCUCUGCAGAGUGUAUAACUGUUAUAACAGCCGUGCUCACGGUCACGAGCGGCCAGGAAAACUCACAGAAUAACUGGUUACUGAUGGCUAUAUGGUAUAUGAUGAUGUAUAAUUAUGCUUUAAUGUGACUUAAUGACUUAAUAUGGUUCUAAUAACUGAUCAUAUGGGAUAUUUGGGAGCUUAAGCAUAAACUAUAAUAAUUAAUGAUAAAACACUGACCUACUAAAAGCUGAUGCAGUAAACCUAGUCUAGCCUGUUUGAGCCUCAUAAAUCCUCAUGCUAUGCUUGUGGAGUACGAGAUGUACUCACGCUUGUACAUUUCUUUUCUUUGGAUAAAAAUCCCAGAUGGGUAACAGAUGGUGGUAGCUAUGAGGACUACCCGGAGGACUAUUAGGCUUGUGCUUCACCAGUCGACCUUCCCUGUGUGAGGGCCAUGAGAUAGUUAUCUUAGAUUAUCAUAUUUACAUUUCCGCUGUUAUGCCAGACUUUGUGAUGUAAUAACUAUGUUUGUUGUAAACACUGCGAUGAUGGUAUUUAAUUUGUGACUUAUGUGUGUGAUUGAUCUCUGGACGCACAUAAGUUUAUGCAUUUAAUUUCUUCCUUGAAAUUGGGUGUGACAAAUGGCUAUCCUUUUGUGAUAAUUAACUUAUGCAUUGUAGGUGGGGGUAACUAAUAUGCAGGAUUUUGAAAGGUAUUUCCUAAAAGGAUGACUAAAUAAUGAAACUAAAAAACAUUUACUGAAAAUUGAAACUGAAAAAAUACCAGAAAAAACUGGAAACUAAAAAUAAAAAAAUUGAAAAAUCAUAACUCAUUUAACUCAAACUAUAAGAAACAAUAAUGGAAAAACUGAAAUAAUGAAACCCAAACCUCAAAUAACUGAAAAAACCAAAAACAAAAAACAAAAAACAAAAAAAGAAUAAGUUGCCGCAAAAGAAAAAAAAAAAGUAGGCGCAUGGCGUGGCCAAUUGGUAGAGGGACUCGUUCCCCGGUGGGCCAAGCUGCAUGGCGCAUACCAGGCCGCCUGCCGGAGGGUCGCUCGCUCCCACGAAGCAUAAUUUGGUCCACAGCAUCCCAAUGAUGGAGAAGGUUUCAGCGUAGCCCGCGUCCGAGCUUUAAAUUUUAAUCUAGGGUCCAUGCGCACUACAUGUUUUCUUUUUUGAGAAAAAUGUACACUGCAUGUGUGUUGAACCUAAGAUUCAGCCCACAUGGAAACAAACUUAAUGGGCCCAUCAGUGUAGGGUCAGUGGUGAUUUGGUGUUCUGGAUUUGAAUCGCAAUACCGAUGCGACGGCUUGGCGUCCAUGCUGCACAACGUACCCGAUGUGCCCAACUUCAUCUCAGGCCUUGUUUAGUUUUAAAAAAUUUUGUCAAAAAAUUUAGAUUUCCUGUCACAUCGAAUCUUACGGCACAUGUAUAAAGUAUUAAAUAUAGACGAAAACAAAAACUAAUUACACGUAAUUUGCGAGACAAAUUUUUUGAACCUAGUUAGUCUAUGAUUGGACAAUAUUUAUAUUUAUCAAAUAUAAACGAAAGUGCUACAUUACUCAAAACCUCAAAAUUUUGCCAACUGAACAAGACCUCAACCCAGCUGUACCUCACAUAGAGAGAGAGAAAUGACUUUUCCUUGUUUUUUCCUAGUCUCGUGGAGUCGUGAGCAAACAUGUCUGGGUUUCUAAACAUAGUACGUGACGCCGUACACGAAAUUUCCUCAAAAUUUUACCUGAAUCCAGUACUGAACCGCCAGUAUAGAGCUUCUAUGUACUAGUGUAAUGACUAGCACAUGUAUGAUUUUACCACAGGGUUGACCAUGACAAGAAUGGGAAGAACUAUUUGGCUACUAAUAUAUCUCUUGCCUCAUCGUGCCUGUGAUUUCAAGGCAUAGGAUAUGCUCACCAAGGAUGCCAAGGAGUCGCUUGCGGUUAUAACGAAGCUAAGCAAAACACUUAGCAGCUAAUAAUUAUCAAGUCAACAACCGGCUUGUCCUUUUCUGCUUCACUUAUCUUUACCGUUAGCUCUACGUAACUUGUAAUCAACGACACUCUGCCACAUUUCUUAAGUGGUGUGUGCCCUUGGCUAACCGUACCCCAAACAACCUGAGCCAAGACCAUCAAUCAAGCUGACCUUGGAUUGGAGGCGUUCUUGCUUGUGCUUCCAAGUAGUGUGUUCGAAUAGGUUCGUGAAACGAGCGGGACUAGCGGGAGGUGCACUCUAUCAUUCACCUUGGAACAUUCGUAUUGGUCACAAUGGCAAGAAGCUACUACGGCCGGUCUAGGCUUGCUUUGGUUCAACGCGAACAUAUGGUUUUUACAUAACCAUUGUGGAGUACCCUUGUUGUGUGAUGAGCGAUUGUCAACAUGUCAACAUUUUGGUGGGUUGUUGGUUCGGUGGUUCUACUAAUAUCCUGGCACAGGGUUAUGUGUCGAAACAGUGUCUCUUGGCUUCGUGAUGUGCAGGUGUGGAGUCUGGAUGCGGUGGCAGCGGUCGGGUGAAGGUCAAGUAGGGCGUGCCGUGCUGACGGACCGGUUGCGGUGAAGGGCGGACGUGAGGCUUGGACUGACGGACCAGACGAUCGGGUGGCCAGCUGCGGUGGCUGACACUUGGGACAUUGAUAAGCGCAAGUGUACAUGGCGGGGGACGCGUACGGGCUACGCUACUCGCAGCGGGUUUCGCGGGUUUGGGCCUCAAAACCCGGGCGGAGGUCCCAAUGCGGACGGAUGGCACGUGGUGGCAUCGGUGAGAUCGCUUCGGAGCGAGGCUACCGGUGAGGAGGCGCGGUGGCCGUCGGAUUUAGGUCAUGUCGAGUUGGACUAGAAUGCCCCUGGGGUAGCUAGUUCGCUCAAAAAUAUCUAGGGACAUUUGGAGAAUAUGUAAUAUGUCUGAUAAAUAAACCGGGGAGUCCCCAUCUCCCCUAACCUUCUCCACCUACUGCUCUCUCCCUCUCUCCCGAAGCUCUCUCUGUAGGUUUUUCUUUUUAGUUUUUCCUAUGAACUGAAAUUUUGGGUAUAAUUUUGUUAUGAUUUUGGAGUGGGAAUGGAGGCCCUAAUCCUCCUCCGGGAUUUAGGAAAUUUGUUUAUGAUUUUCGUGACUGUGUUCUUGUGUUUGUGUCCUUUUUGUUCUUGGCUGCGAUCUGAAAUUUACGAAGAUUGAGUUGGGUUCGAGCAAUGAUUCUUCAGAGAUAGCUCACCAACAUCUUGGAGAUUACCUGUGUGAGUUUUGGGACUGAGUUAUUUUGUUUUGGUUGAUUAUCUUUUGAUUUCUGUAGCCUCUCGUUCUUCUGUACUCUCACUGGCAGACUGUGUUCGUGAGAAGUGGAAUCCAACAACGCUACUGGUGCCGAUGCUCUAGCGUCGUGCGUGCUCUUCAGAGCAGCGCUUCUCACUAGAUCUGCCUCAGGUCAAAUAUCUUCGUUCUUCUCAGCACGACGGCGAGCCGACCCACUGUCCGUGCUCUUCGGUUCCAGUCUGUGCGUGGAGUUUCUCUGUUUUUGAGGGCAUCGUUUUCUGUUCGUCGAAUCUCUGUUUGCUCUUUGCCAGGACGAAUCAUGGUACAGGUUGAUACAACAGCAGUGCUACCUGUGUCGUGUGCUCAAGGUACCGCGCGUGCUCACUAAGCAGCACUUGCUCUGGUUCUUGCCUGUUGACUUUGAAUCCCAAGAACCCUGUUCAAUCUUUCAGCUUUCUGUGCGAGCAGGUCGACGGUUUCUGCAAUUUUUUUUUAGGCAAGCAGGGUGUUUGUUCGUAGUGAGUCAAGUUGUUUUCUUGUUUGCUUUCCUAGUUUUGCAGGUCUGGCAUCCAGCAAACAAAGCACAACAACGUGUUCACUCUGGUUGGGCUACUCAUCGAGCUAGCACAGAGCAAGCAAGGCCGUUAGUUUAAUUCUGAUGUUCUCCCGUGAUGCCUAGUGCUGUGUUUGUCUUUCUGUUCUUUAGUUGGUGAUUUGUUUAGAAACUAGCACUUGCUCUCGGUUGAAAAUUUCAAGUGCAGUGAGCUGUUUAAUAUUUGUGCAGUCUGAAAUUUCUAGAUAGCCCUCCUCUUAUUUUCAGCUGAUUUUACAUUGGUUUUUUGGUGGCUCUGAUUUUCCGUUUUGCGCAUAUUUUGGUCGUUCGAGCUCCGAUUUGAUUUCCGUCAGUUACGUUGGUCUUCUACCGUUAUGAGGAAUUUUAUCUAAUUGCUCUUGUCACCAGUUGACUUGAGUAAUUCAGUCUCGGGUACUUAUUUGUGUUUGGCGGUGAUUUGGGACAGCGGCCAAAAAUAUUUCGAGAGAAAAUUUACGGCUCCCAU
Molecule: long non-coding RNA, 10764 nt
Filed under: Sorghum bicolor (sorghum)
Lineage: Eukaryota; Viridiplantae; Streptophyta; Magnoliopsida; Poales; Poaceae
Description: long non-coding RNA (SBIC_LNC007756)
Source: RNAcentral